GACGAACCGUGCGAACGUUGUUCGGAUUCACUGGGCUUAAAGGGCGCGUAGGCGGCUUGCCAAGUCAGGGGUGAAAUCUUUCGGCUCAACCGGAAAACAGCCCCUGAUACUGGUAAGCUCGAGGGAGGUAGGGGCAGGUGGAACUUCUGGUGGAGCGGUGAAAUGCGUAGAUAUCAGAAGGAACGCCGGUGGCGAAAGCGACCUGCUGGAUCUCUACUGACGCUGAGGCGCGAAAGCUAGGGGAGCAAACGGG
Molecule: ribosomal RNA, 253 nt
Filed under: uncultured bacterium
Lineage: Bacteria
Description: partial 16S ribosomal RNA
Rfam family: Bacterial small subunit ribosomal RNA
Source: RNAcentral